Passer domesticus (house sparrow) is the source of this 1055-nucleotide long non-coding RNA. RefSeq lists it as uncharacterized. The record is from RefSeq and is a predicted model, not a curated record. The transcript is spliced from 3 exons. NCBI's taxonomy places the organism in Eukaryota, Metazoa, Chordata, Aves, Passeriformes, Passeridae.
GCUCAACCAUUGCUCUGUUUUCUGAAAAGCUCCUCAUCCACAAGGACCUAUUUAAUUAUUUCUUUGUUUUUAUGGGUCUGUCUACAGUCAUUUACUUUUCCUUCACAGUCGGUUACCCAAGGUAAUUCUAACUCUAAUGAUGCUGGGAUGUUUUGCUACAGACGUUGGAGGACAGUUUAGAGACCCUGCUGAAAGCAUUUUCCUCUUGCUAAUGCUAAAACUCCCCUCCUCUGGGCCUCCUCAGUCCCAUUAUGAAAUAUUUCUAGUGCCCUGUCAAACCUAGCAUUGGACCCCUGCCCUUCUACACUCGUGCCAUGGCCAGAAGUCUCAUUCCAGCUCAAGCCUGGGCCCCUGUCUCACCUCAUCUGCCUGUCUCCAGCCUUGUUCACAUCAUUUCCCAGACACUGUAGAAGUCCAUGCUGCUUUUAAUGGAUUAUUGCAGUUGAAAGUUUGAUGGUGAAGAAAAAACGAAAUACUGCACAGUUAGGGAUGAUGCAACAUGAAAGUAUAAGAGAAUUUUGUCCUCAGUUCUACAAUGAAAUAUGCCUGCUGUCCUGCUCAGCUGUGUUCAGCAUAUAUUAUAGUGCACAGAAGCAUCUGCAGUCUGAUAGCAGCCAGUGGACUCCUGCAGUUUGUUAUGGCUUUCUCUGUUUUCUGCUGUGGACAUCACAGCCAUGAAGAAGAAAUAAUGGAUGUCCAGAGAAAAAUAGACUAAUACACCAUACACGUAAUUUUUCCUUUUCUGACCUGCAUUUUGAUGGAAUUUCUGGUGAAAAUAUAAGCUAUGAAUGAAAUCCUUGCCAGAGGUUUUGCAAACACAGCAACAAUAUAUAAGAUAAAAUAGUCCCAUGGAGAUCAGUCUCGUCUCCUUAUCUGUCUCAAACACUGUAGUUCCUUACUAAUGAAAAUAUAAAGUGGAUUUCUGCAUGGAGGCAGAGUGAGCAGGUGGAAGUCAGUCCUCUAUGCUUCAGGGCUUUGCUGGUACAACAGUAGCAAAAGUCAACCCUAUACUGUAAGUUUGUCUAAAUUAACUCAUAGUCUAGUAAUGUAUAUUU